CACGGGGGUUGGAGGGCAAGUUUGGUGCCAGCAGCCGCGGUAAUUCCAGCUCCAAUAGCGUAUAUUAAAGUUGUUGCAGUUAAAAAGCUCGUAGUUGAAUUUCGGGAUCAGUAGGUUGGUCAUGCCUAUGGUAUGUACUGGCUUUACUGGUUCCUCCUUCUUGAUGAUCUGUAAUGUCAUUAAUUUGGUGUUGCAGGGAGUCAGGACUGUAUCUUUGAAAAAAUUAGAGUGUUUAAAGCAGGCAUACGCUUGAAUACAUUAGCAUGGAAUAAUGAAAUAGGACGUUCGAUCCUAUUUUGUUGGUUUCUAGGAUUGACGUAAUGAUUAAUAGGGAUAGUUGGGGGCAUUAGUAUUCAAUUGUCAGAGGUGAAAUUCUUGGAUUUAUUGAAGACUAACUACUGCGAAAGCAUUUGCCAAGGAUGUUUUCAUUAAUC
This 434-nucleotide ribosomal RNA is filed under the name uncultured Glomus. Its description in RNAcentral is "SSU rRNA". It matches the Rfam family "Eukaryotic small subunit ribosomal RNA", at positions 536 to 978 of the family's 1831-position model. Lineage: Eukaryota; Fungi; Glomeromycota; Glomeromycetes; Glomerales; Glomeraceae. The record is from RNAcentral.